This 440-nucleotide ribosomal RNA is filed under the name uncultured Streptococcus sp. RNAcentral's name for it is "bacterial SSU rRNA". It matches the Rfam family "Bacterial small subunit ribosomal RNA", at positions 358 to 790 of the family's 1533-position model. Lineage: Bacteria; Bacillati; Bacillota; Bacilli; Lactobacillales; Streptococcaceae. The record is from RNAcentral.
GGAAUCUUCGGCAAUGGACGGAAGUCUGACCGAGCAACGCCGCGUGAGUGAAGAAGGUUUUCGGAUCGUAAAGCUCUGUUGUUAGAGAAGAAUGAUGGUGGGAGUGGAAAAUCCACCAUGUGACGGUAACUAACCAGAAAGGGACGGCUAACUACGUGCCAGCAGCCGCGGUAAUACGUAGGUCCCGAGCGUUGUCCGGAUUUAUUGGGCGUAAAGCGAGCGCAGGCGGUUCUUUAAGUCUGAAGUUAAAGGCAGUGGCUCAACCAUUGUACGCUUUGGAAACUGGAGAACUUGAGUGCAGAAGGGGAGAGUGGAAUUCCAUGUGUAGCGGUGAAAUGCGUAGAUAUAUGGAGGAACACCGGUGGCGAAAGCGGCUCUCUGGUCUGUAACUGACGCUGAGGCUCGAAAGCGUGGGGAGCAAACAGGAUUAGAUACCCUUG